Panicum virgatum (switchgrass) is the source of this 114-nucleotide small nucleolar RNA. RefSeq annotates it as small nucleolar RNA Z278. The record is from RefSeq and is a predicted model, not a curated record. The transcript has a single exon. Lineage: Eukaryota; Viridiplantae; Streptophyta; Magnoliopsida; Poales; Poaceae.
ACCAAUGAUGUGUUGUCCACAAUUCGAGGUGUAGUUGACUUCCAAGUCCCUGCUUCAGGGAGAACCUACUUGGGGUCCUACAUUCAAAUGAGAUGCCUGGGCAUUUCCUGAGGU